ACAUGCAAGUCGAACGGUAGAGGGGGCAACCCCUUGAGAGUGGCGAACGGGUGAGUAAUAUAUCGGAACGUGCCCAGUCGUGGGGGAUAACGUAGCGAAAGUUACGCUAAUACCGCAUACGAUCUAAGGAUGAAAGCGGGGGACUCGCAAGAGCCUCGCGCGAUUGGAGCGGCCGAUAUCAGAUUAGGUAGUUGGUGGGGUAAAGGCUCACCAAGCCAACGAUCUGUAGCUGGUCUGAGGGACGACCAGCCACACUGGAACUGAGACACGGUCCAGACUCCUACGGGAGGCAGCAGUGGGGAAUUUUGGACAAUGGACGCAAGUCUGAUCCAGCCAUUCCGCGUGCAGGAUGAAGGCCCUCGGGUUGUAAACUGCUUUUGUACGGAACGAAAAGGUUUCUCUUAAUACGAGGAGCUCAUGACGGUACCGUAAGAAUAAGCACCGGCUAACUACGUGCCAGCAGCCGCGGUAAUACGUAGGGUGCAAGCGUUAAUGGAAUUACUGGGCGUAAAGCGUGCGCAGGCGGUUAUGUAAGACAGAUGUGAAAUCCCCGGGCUCAACCUGGGAACUGCAUUUGUGACUGCAUAGCUAGAGUACGGUAGAGGGGGAUGGAAUUCCGCGUGUAGCAGUGAAAUGCGUAGAUAUGCGGAGGAACACCGAUGGCGAAGGCAAUCCCCUGGAACUGUAUGACGCUCAUGCACGAAAG
This 706-nucleotide ribosomal RNA is filed under the name Aquaspirillum sp. GOBB3-215. RNAcentral's name for it is "bacterial SSU rRNA". It matches the Rfam family "Bacterial small subunit ribosomal RNA", at positions 53 to 759 of the family's 1533-position model. The record is from RNAcentral. Lineage: Bacteria; Pseudomonadati; Pseudomonadota; Betaproteobacteria; Neisseriales; Aquaspirillaceae.